RNAcentral lists this ribosomal RNA (467 nucleotides) under uncultured bacterium. RNAcentral's name for it is "partial 16S ribosomal RNA". It matches the Rfam family "Bacterial small subunit ribosomal RNA", at positions 28 to 507 of the family's 1533-position model. The record is from RNAcentral.
GAUGAACGCUGACAGAAUGCUUAACACAUGCAAGUCAACUUGAAUUUGGGUUUUUAACUUAGGUUUGGGUGGCGGACGGGUGAGUAACGCGUAAAGAACUUGCCUCACAGCUAGGGACAACAUUUGGAAACGAAUGCUAAUACCUAAUAUUAUGAUAAUAGGGCAUCCUAUAAUUAUGAAAGCUAUAAGCGCUGUGAGAGAGCUUUGCGUCCCAUUAGCUAGUUGGAGAGGUAACGGCUCACCAAGGCGAUGAUGGGUAGCCGGCCUGAGAGGGUGAUCGGCCACAAGGGGACUGAGACACGGCCCUUACUCCUACGGGAGGCAGCAGUGGGGAAUAUUGGACAAUGGACCAAGAGUCUGAUCCAGCAAUUCUGUGUGCACGAUGAAGUUUUUCGGAAUGUAAAGGGCUUUCAGUUGGGAAGAAAGAAAUGACGGUACCAACAGAAGAAGUGACGGCUAAAUACGUG